Molecule: small nucleolar RNA, 66 nt
Organism: Nannospalax galili (Upper Galilee mountains blind mole rat)
Lineage: Eukaryota; Metazoa; Chordata; Mammalia; Rodentia; Spalacidae
Product: small nucleolar RNA SNORD43
Exons: 1
Source: RefSeq, a predicted model, not a curated record
CAUAAAUGAUGAACCUUUUUGACGGGCGGACAGAAACUCUGUGCUGAUUGUCAAGUUCUGAUAAUG